RNAcentral lists this ribosomal RNA (1239 nucleotides) under Triticum aestivum (bread wheat). RNAcentral describes it as "partial small subunit ribosomal RNA". The record is from RNAcentral. Lineage: Eukaryota; Viridiplantae; Streptophyta; Magnoliopsida; Poales; Poaceae.
AUGAGCUGCUGCUGCUGCAGCUGCUUCGGCUUCCUCAGCAAGCUGCACCACCGCCCCGCCGCCGGAGACAGCGACGGCGCGCCGUCCAAGGUCCUGCUUUUGCCGAGGUCCAGCGACGGCGGCAGCUUCUACGCCGGGGACAACAGCAGCAGCUUCCUCGGCGACGAGAGCAGGAGCUUCUACGAGAGGGAAGAGGAGGACUACCUCCUCCGCCAGAGCGACGGCGACGACGAGCCGCCCCGCAAGCGGUCCGAGGACAUCAUACUCUCCCGGGCCCGGAACGGCUUCGCCUGCAGGGACAGCCUCGUCAGGGACACCAGGAAGCUCUUCCGCUCAGAGGACGAAACAACCGGCUGUAAGAUGAUCAACCAGUAUGUUCACCUGGGCAAGAUUGGUGCUGGGAGCUAUGGCAAAGUGGUUAAAUACCGAAACAUCAAGGACGGAAGGUUAUAUGCAAUAAAGGUGUUGAGUAAACCCUACAUGUUGAAAGUGCGUGUUGUGCAGUCAGAAACGGCCAUGACAGAUGUUCUUCGGGAAGUAUCCCUCAUGAAAAUGUUGGAUCAUCCCAAUAUAGUAAAUCUCAUUGAGGUGAUUGACGACCCAAACACAGAUAAAUUCUACAUGGUUCUUGAGUAUGUUGAGGGGAAAAUGGUGUGCAAUAACGGCAUAGGUUUAGGAGAAGCUACUUCCAGGAAGUACUUGCGGGACAUUGUCUCUGGUGUUAUGUAUCUUCACUCUCAUAACAUUAUUCAUGGUGAUAUUAAACCAGACAACCUCUUGGUCACAAGUACUGGCAAUGUGAAGAUAGGGGACUUCAGUGUUAGCCAGAUAUUUGAGGAUGACGAUGAUAUGCUUUGGAGGUCUCCGGGUACUCCAGUUUUCACUGCACCAGAGUGCUGUCAAGGUUCAGCCUACCAUGGCAGAACAGCUGAUACAUGGGCAGUCGGUGUUACCCUGUAUUGCAUGAUCACCGGGAAAUAUCCAUUCCUUGGAGAAACUCUGCAGGAAACUUACGACAAGAUCGCCAAUGAUCCGGUGGAAAUACCCGGCGACACGAGCCCCCAGCUCGCCGACUUGAUGCAGAGGCUGCUCUACAAAGAUCCGGGAGAUCGUAUGACCCUGCAGGCCGUGGCCGCGCAUCCCUGGGUCGCCGGGGCCGAGGGUCCGGUCCCUGAGUUUGUGUGUAGGUGCGGUUUCGGUCGCAGGAACAGGAGUGAUUCGCAGGAGGCGGUGCAAUAA